Molecule: ribosomal RNA, 553 nt
Filed under: Lucilia sericata (common green bottle fly)
Lineage: Eukaryota; Metazoa; Arthropoda; Insecta; Diptera; Calliphoridae
Description: partial 16S ribosomal RNA
Rfam family: Bacterial large subunit ribosomal RNA
Source: RNAcentral
CGCCUGUUUAACAAAAACAUGUCUUUUUGAAUUUUUUUUAAAGUCUAGCCUGCCCCCUGAAUAAUUUUAAAUGGCCGCAGUAUACUAACUGUGCAAAGGUAGCAUAAUCAUUAGUCUUUUAAUUGAAGGCUGGUAUGAAUGGUUGGACGAGAUAUUAACUGUUUCAUAAAAAUUUAUAAUAGAAUUUUAUUUUUUAGUCAAAAAGCUAAAAUAUAUUUAAAAGACGAGAAGACCCUAUAAAUCUUUAUAUUUAGGUUAUUAUAAUUUUAUAGAUUUUUUUUGUUAUAAUAAUUGAUAAUAUUUUAUUGGGGUGAUAUUAAAAUUUGAUAAACUUUUAAUUGUUUAAAUCAUUAAUUUAUGAAUAAUUGAUCCGUUAUUAGCGAUUAAAAAAAUAAGUUACUUUAGGGAUAACAGCGUAAUUUUUUUGGAGAGUUCAUAUCGAUAAAAAAGAUUGCGACCUCGAUGUUGGAUUAAGGUAUAAUUUUAGGUGUAGCCGCUUAAAUUUUAAGUCUGUUCGACUUUUAAAUUCUUACGUGAUCUGAGUUCAGACCGG